AGAGUUUGAUCCUGGCUCAGAUUGAACGCUGGCGGCAUGCCUUACACAUGCAAGUCGAACGGCAGCACGGGAGCAAUCCUGGUGGCGAGUGGCGAACGGGUGAGUAAUAUAUCGGAACGUGCCCAGUCGUGGGGGAUAACGCAGCGAAAGCUGUGCUAAUACCGCAUACGAUCUCUGGAUGAAAGCGGGGGACUCGCAAGAGCCUCGCGCGAUUGGAGCGGCCGAUAUCAGAUUAGCUAGUUGGUGGGGUAAAGGCUCACCAAGGCGACGAUCUGUAGCUGGUCUGAGAGGACGACCAGCCACACUGGAACUGAGACACGGUCCAGACUCCUACGGGAGGCAGCAGUGGGGAAUUUUGGACAAUGGGCGCAAGCCUGAUCCAGCAAUGCCGCGUGCAGGAUGAAGGCCUUCGGGUUGUAAACUGCUUUUGUACGGAACGAAACGGUUCUCUCUAAUAAAGAGGGCCAAUGACGGUACCGUAAGAAUAAGCACCGGCUAACUACGUGCCAGCAGCCGCGGUAA
This 522-nucleotide ribosomal RNA is filed under the name uncultured bacterium. RNAcentral describes it as "bacterial SSU rRNA". It matches the Rfam family "Bacterial small subunit ribosomal RNA", at positions 8 to 523 of the family's 1533-position model. The record is from RNAcentral.